GGGGCGAUUUUUGGGGACAUUUCAGGGAUAUUUCAGGGUCAUUCGGGGUCGGUUUUUGGGGCAGUUUUUGGGACAUUUCAGGGCCGUUUUUGGGGCAGUUUUUGGGACAUUUCAGGGCGGUUUUUGGGGCAGUUUCUGGGACAUUUCAGGGCAGUUUUGGGGACAUUUCAGGGACAUUUCAGGGCGGUUUUUGGGGACAUUUCAGGGCGGUUUUGGGGGACAUUUCAGGGCGGUUUUUGGAGACAUUUCAGGGACAUUUCAGGGUCACUCGGGGUCGGUUUUUGGGGCAGUUCCUGGGAUAUUUCAGGGACAUUUCAGGUCGGUUUUUGGGGACAUUCCAGGGACAUUUCAGGGCCGUUUUUGGGGACAUUUCAGGGAUAUUUCAGGUCGGUUUUUGGGGACAUUUCAGGUCGGUUUUUGGGGACAUUCCAGGUCCAUUCCAGGGACAUUUCAGGGAUAUUUCAGGGUGUUUUUUGGGGACAUUUCAGGAACAUUUCAGGGACAUUUCAGGGCCAUUUUUGGGGCCAUUUCAGGGACAUUUCAGGGCAGUUUUUGGGGCAUUUCAGGGACAUUUCAGGGUGUUUUUUGGGGACAUUCCAGGGACAUUUCAGGGAUAUUUCAGGUCGGUUUUUGGGGACAUUCCAGGGACAUUUCAGGGACAUUUCAGGGAUAUUUCAGGGCAGUUUUUGGGACAUUCCAGGGACAUUCCAGGGCAGUUUUUGGGGACAUUUCAGGGUCACUCGGGGUCGGUUUUUGGGGCAGUUCCUGGGAUAUUUCAGGUCCAUUCCAGGGGUAUUCCAGGGAUAUUUCAGGGCAGUUUUUGGGGACAUUUCAGGGACAUUUCAGGGCAGUUUUUGGGGACAUUUCAGGUCCAUUCCAGGGCAGUUUUUGGGGACA
Non-coding RNA from Cyanistes caeruleus (blue tit), 897 nucleotides. NCBI's taxonomy places the organism in Eukaryota, Metazoa, Chordata, Aves, Passeriformes, Paridae. The record is from RefSeq and is a predicted model, not a curated record.